GAACGCUAGCGGCAGGCUUAAUACAUGCAAGUCGAGGGCAGCAUGAAGUAGCAAUACUUUGAUGGCGACCGGCAAACGGGUGCGGAACACGUACACAACCUUCCUUUAAGUGGGGAAUAGCCCAGAGAAAUUUGGAUUAAUACCCCGUAACACAACGAAGUGGCAUCACUUUGUUGUUAUAGUUUCGACGCUUAAUGAUGGGUGUGCGUAUGAUUAGAUAGUUGGCGAGGUAACGGCUCACCAAGUCUACGAUCAGUAGCUGAUGUGAGAGCAUGAUCAGCCACACGGGCACUGAGACACGGGCCCGACUCCUACGGGAGGCAGCAGUAAGGAAUAUUGGUCAAUGGACGCAAGUCUGAACCAGCCAUGCCGCGUGAAGGAUUAAGGUCCUCUGGAUUGUAAACUUCUUUUAUUUGGGACGAAAAAAGGCCUUUCUAGGUCAACUGACGGUACCAGAUGAAUAAGCACCGGCUAACUCCGUG
Molecule: ribosomal RNA, 482 nt
Filed under: uncultured bacterium
Lineage: Bacteria
Description: bacterial SSU rRNA
Rfam family: Bacterial small subunit ribosomal RNA
Source: RNAcentral